UUCAUAUUCCCUUCGUCCCAAAUUUUUUAUCUUAGAUUUGUCUAAAUAUGAAUGUAUGGACUCACGUUUUAGUAUCUAGAUACAUUCAUUUCUAGACAAACCUAAGACAAAAAAAUUAAGACGAAUGAAGUACUAU
Non-coding RNA from Hordeum vulgare subsp. vulgare (domesticated barley), 136 nucleotides. Lineage: Eukaryota; Viridiplantae; Streptophyta; Magnoliopsida; Poales; Poaceae. The record is from Rfam.